AGCGAACGCUGGCGGCAGGCCCAACACAUGCAAGUCGAACGAACUCUUCGGAGUUAGUGGCGGACGGGUGAGUAACAGGUGGGAACGUGCCUUUUGGUUCGGAAUAACUCAGGGAAACUUGUGCUAAUACCGAAUGUGCCCUUCGGGGGAAAGAUUUAUCGCCAUUAGAGCGGCCCGCGUCUGAUUAGCUAGUUGGUGAGGUAACGGCUCACCAAGGCGACGAUCAGUAGCUGGUCUGAGAGGAUGACCAGCCACACUGGGACUGAGACACGGCCCAGACUCCUACGGGAGGCAGCAGUGGGGAAUCUUGCGCAAUGGGCGAAAGCCUGACGCAGCCAUGCCGCGUGAAUGAUGAAGGUCUUAGGAUUGUAAAAUUCUUUCACCGGGGACGAUAAUGACGGUACCCGGAGAAGAAGCCCCGGCUAACUUCGUG
This 433-nucleotide ribosomal RNA is filed under the name uncultured bacterium. RNAcentral describes it as "partial 16S ribosomal RNA". It matches the Rfam family "Bacterial small subunit ribosomal RNA", at positions 29 to 507 of the family's 1533-position model. The record is from RNAcentral.